Molecule: non-coding RNA, 276 nt
Organism: Vicia faba (fava bean)
Lineage: Eukaryota; Viridiplantae; Streptophyta; Magnoliopsida; Fabales; Fabaceae
Source: the annotation of a GenBank genome assembly
AUGAAUUCGUUGUGGGCCCAACAAGCAUUGACAUGUCUAUUCAACCAAAGCCAAAGGAAGAUUUAUGUUGUCUUGUUUGAUUUGGAGAUAACUGUUACUAUGAAAUUUUCAAUGUUUCAUCUAUUGGAGAAGUUAAUGUCCCACCACCUAUUCAAUUUCACUACCAAACAUUGCAUUUGUAUUGGACAAUUUGUUUUAAGAAUAAAUAAAGAAGUGGUUUGGUUGGAUUUAUAUGGAAUCACGGAAUUAGUUAAUGGUGAAUCAUCGUUCGUGUGA